RNAcentral lists this ribosomal RNA (206 nucleotides) under uncultured bacterium. RNAcentral describes it as "partial 16S ribosomal RNA". It matches the Rfam family "Bacterial small subunit ribosomal RNA", at positions 568 to 774 of the family's 1533-position model. The record is from RNAcentral.
AGCGUAGACGGUGUGGCAAGUCUGAUGUGAAAGGCAUGGGCUCAACCUGUGGACUGCAUUGGAAACUGUCAUACUUGAGUGCCGGAGGGGUAAGCGGAAUUCCUAGUGUAGCGGUGAAAUGCGUAGAUAUUAGGAGGAGCACCAGUGGCGAAGGCGGCUUACUGGACGGUAACUGACGUUGAGGCUCGAAAGCGUGGAAGCAAACA